CCGGGAUGUGCCGGGAACGGGGAGCAGCCGGGGGGCUCCGGGUUGGGUGGCGCUCCGGCGGCCGCGUCUCCCGAGCGGUGAAAUGCAGGACGAGCGGCCCCGCCGUGCUGUUUCCUCCUCGGGGAGAGCUCGAAACGAGAGAGAAAGAGAGAGAGAGAGAGAGCGAGAGCGAGAGAGCGAUCGGUGGUGACUCGGGGGCUGACCGGGCUCUUGCUGGGGCUCGGCGGCCGCAGACGGUGGAUUUGUGGGAAGAGGACGGGAUGAGAAAUAAACGCACCUGGCCAGCGGUGUUUAGGGGAGCGGGGGCCGGGUGCCCCCGCUGGCUGCCGGAGCCCCUGGACUCCGGACGCGGACCCGCCGAGCUGCAAUGGACGCUGCCCGCCGCUGGCCGCAGAGCGGAGCAUCCCCGCCGCCGCCGCCGCCGCCGAGGAGGGAGAGCUGCCCGCCCGGAGCUGGCCCGCAGCGCGCCCCUCGCCCCAAGAGGGACCCGGAGUUUCCCCUUCGGCAUCGCUCCGGUGACCGCGGGCUGUGCCAGCCGGCCGCCCAGAUAGGUUGCGUGGCAGCCACGGCGCGAGCGAAUAGAACUCCUUGGAUGUGUCGGAAGUAAGCGCCGGGAGCAUUUGGUGAUCUUUGUGGGAGGAAGGCACAAGCCACCCAGGCCCUGUUCCCUCCAUCUUGAGCCUUCCAUGGUGAUUUGCAGCAGCACAGGGAAGUAUGAAGCACUGAGGGACAGAAGUCAGUGUUUAAACCUGACUUCACUUCAGCAUUAAUGACCACGCAAGUUUCACAUAACAGAGGACCAGGGCUAGCAUAGCAGAAGUACUUAAGGUGCCUCUUUUAAAAGUUCUCUUUUGCAUAUCUAAAGAUUAGGGAGCUGUUUAGAAAAGAUGAUUAUACAAGUGUUUUUAUUUACUGUCCUAAGAGAGGAUGAUGAUCCGCAUUAUCUUACAUGCAUCUUCGGUGCAUCUGUAUCACCAUAUAGAUUUCAGGGGAGCUGUAUUGAUUUAAGUUAGUAAAGAAACCCAGUGAAGUUUUAAAUAAUUGGAAUAAUAUUCUCCCUCUCUUUCAGUCAGAUUUGCCCUUCAUGUUACUUGUGUUUCAUAAUCCUCCUAGCCCUCCAUUUCGUCAUUACAAGACCAGCAUCUCUACAGUAAAAAAAAAAAAGAGAGGACAACCCCCCCGCAGAAAAAAAAAAGCUCUUUUUACAAUCUUCUAUUUAUAUUAAUGUUUAAAUAAAUUUAGGGCACAAACUGAUCCUGUUUUUUUAAUAGGCCUAUUUAGUUUCAUUUACUUACAUGGGUAUUUUUUUGGAACCAGAAGCUCUCAGGAAGAGAAUGUGUUCAAUGCAGCAAUACCCUUUAGGGUUUUGAUAAAAGACAUGAUAUCAUGAGUAUCAUCACCACUUCUGUUAUUCUUCUUAUAUAGUAGCGACGAGAUUGAAUCACCAUUUUUAGCUAUUCUUCAGCAGAACUCGUAAUCUAUCAAUGUGUCAGCUCAACAGCAGUUUUCUCUUCACACUAAUGUGAACCAGAAGGUCCAGCUAUCACUGAUUUUGACAAUUUUAUCUGAGAUUGCAUGUAUUGCAGAAGUUUUAAGCAGAUGAAUUAUGGGGCCAGUUAUAUUUUCCUAAAGAUGUACAAAACAUAGAAUGCAUCACCUAAAACGUUUCAAACUAAUUUGUACCUGAUAACAUUCCUAUGUUUGGUGUUUCAUAAGCCUUACGAUAGAAGCACUGUGAAAUAUUUGUCUGAUAAAUAACAAGAAUGAGAUCAAA
Molecule: long non-coding RNA, 1774 nt
Organism: Poecile atricapillus (Black-capped chickadee)
Lineage: Eukaryota; Metazoa; Chordata; Aves; Passeriformes; Paridae
Exons: 3
Source: RefSeq, a predicted model, not a curated record